CGCGGCCCGCCGGGAGUUGUAGUGCGCGGCGGGGCCGGGGCGCUGUCACGCGCUCGCCGCGGCCCCCCCGGACGGCGCCGUCCCUCCGCGCCGCGGCAGACGCAGCUCUGCACACCGCCGCCGACCCUCGGCAAGGUUUAUUCUGCGGCCGGCGAGUGCUGGGGGGAGCGGCAGCGCCGUCGCCUGAAUGCUGCCGGUCCCCGGUAACCUUCAGCUUCCCUUUCCGUUAACGGCAUGUGGUCUCCACCGGUGAUGCUCAGCCUGCGUCCGUGCUCUGGCUCCGAUUCCUUUGGAGAGCGGCCAAAAUCUCUGCGGUUUCGCCGUGUCGGUGGCCGGGAAGGGCGUCUCUUUAACAUUCGUUGGAGGAUGCGGUCCUCGCUGCUCCCGGCUGUGUAUUCGGCGUUUAUCAAAGCUCGGGGUGAACUUUGCGCCGGUAACCGCUCCUGAGCGCUUCCUUCCGGACGCGAACAGCUCCACAGGGGUGCUUUCAAACGUGAAACGGUGGUCCACGCAGCGAUGCUGACUGCCGCACGGCAACACCCACCUCACACCCAAGUCAGAGCCUCAGCGCGAGGACUGCCUCCGAAAGCCGGCUUUGAGCCGAAGGACAGAGGGUUCCUACAGCGAGCAGCGGUGGCGGGGACGGGGACGGGGCGCCCGGAGGUCCCCUCGAGCUGCGGAACGGCACUCAGCCUCACACGAGUCUGCAUAGAAGGCUUCAGACCUGCAACCCCACAGGCCCCCUCCUUCACACCGUGCUGCUGCUAAGAAAAGCCUUGCCCCUUUCC
This 788-nucleotide long non-coding RNA is filed under the name Gallus gallus (chicken). Lineage: Eukaryota; Metazoa; Chordata; Aves; Galliformes; Phasianidae. The record is from RNAcentral.